This is a non-coding RNA of Schistosoma curassoni, 45 nucleotides long. The record is from Rfam. Lineage: Eukaryota; Metazoa; Platyhelminthes; Trematoda; Strigeidida; Schistosomatidae.
AUCCAGCUGACGAGUCCAAAAUAGGACCAAACGCGUGUUCUGGAU